Acanthopagrus latus (yellowfin seabream) is the source of this 865-nucleotide long non-coding RNA. RefSeq lists it as uncharacterized. The record is from RefSeq and is a predicted model, not a curated record. Lineage: Eukaryota; Metazoa; Chordata; Actinopteri; Spariformes; Sparidae. The transcript is spliced from 2 exons.
GAUUUAACAGUAGGUCAACAGGACAACAUCUCUUCAGUCCAGCUCUUAGUCUACCACUAACACAGCUGAGAAAACGUAAGAGCACUAACACAACGAGAAGCGUAAAGAGAAAGACGUCUGAUACGGACAAUUCUUUUCAGAGACAACAGCAUUUUUCUGAGUCAGAUUAUACCAGGCGAACAACGUUCUCCAUGAAAAACUGGACAGAAUCAGUGAGCCACAACAUGAUAUCAGCCAAGGACUCUGAGGAGGAGCUGCUGCACCAGUGGCCGUUGACUUAUACAGCACCGGCCCUUGAAGAGUUUGACGUGCCUCUAGACUCUGAGGACGAGGACCUGUGUGAUGAGUGGGGGCUCCCCUUAAUAUCACUGGAUCUUCAACAGCUAGACUCUUGGAAGAAUCUCCCAGUCAAAACAAAAAAAUCUUUCUGGAAGAGAAUAUCUGACUUUUUCCAACGGUUGAUGAAGUUUAAGAAAUAAGAUGCAAGCUGUCACAUUUGCUCAUCAAAACAUGAGCUUGAGUUGAUCAACCAUCAAACUGAAGACCUCUCUACUGUGGACAGCCAGUAGAUACCACAUGUCACCUGUGGUCGGGCAUGAGGGGGGCAGUCCAUCACUGUUACCUCCCACAGCAGCACACAUAUAACUUGCAGACAUUGUACAGGGAGCUAAUCAGAAAUGUUCCCCCCACUGUGUCAGUAGCUCUGAGCUGUAUGUGUGCCGUCUGUGUGGAGUCAACAUGUCCUCCCCAGGUCUCUGUGGGUCUCUUCCGGGUGCUCCGGUUUCCUCACAAUUUUUAAAAUAAUCAUUGAAAUUUGGAUUUGAAUUUUAAGAAACAAAGAAAUAAAAUUCUUGUGCAAAUUGCU